UUAGUUGGUGGAGUGAUUUGUCUGGUUAAUUCCGUUAACGAACGAGACCUUAACCUGCUAACUAGACGCUCAAACUAUUACUGUAUGAGUGUGCUUCUUAGAGGGACUUCGGCGUGUCGAAUGCGAGGAAGUUUGAGGCAAUAACAGG
Molecule: ribosomal RNA, 148 nt
Filed under: uncultured eukaryote
Lineage: Eukaryota
Description: partial small subunit ribosomal RNA
Rfam family: Eukaryotic small subunit ribosomal RNA
Source: RNAcentral